This 585-nucleotide ribosomal RNA is filed under the name Penicillium polonicum. RNAcentral's name for it is "eukaryotic LSU rRNA". The stretch from base 207 to 359 matches the Rfam family "5.8S ribosomal RNA". The record is from RNAcentral. Lineage: Eukaryota; Fungi; Ascomycota; Eurotiomycetes; Eurotiales; Aspergillaceae.
UCCGUAGGUGAACCUGCGGAAGGAUCAUUACCGAGUGAGGGCCCUUUGGGUCCAACCUCCCACCCGUGUUUAUUUUACCUUGUUGCUUCGGCGGGCCCGCCUUUACUGGCCGCCGGGGGGCUCACGCCCCCGGGCCCGCGCCCGCCGAAGACACCCCCGAACUCUGUCUGAAGAUUGAAGUCUGAGUGAAAAUAUAAAUUAUUUAAAACUUUCAACAACGGAUCUCUUGGUUCCGGCAUCGAUGAAGAACGCAGCGAAAUGCGAUACGUAAUGUGAAUUGCAAAUUCAGUGAAUCAUCGAGUCUUUGAACGCACAUUGCGCCCCCUGGUAUUCCGGGGGGCAUGCCUGUCCGAGCGUCAUUGCUGCCCUCAAGCCCGGCUUGUGUGUUGGGCCCCGUCCUCCGAUUCCGGGGGACGGGCCCGAAAGGCAGCGGCGGCACCGCGUCCGGUCCUCGAGCGUAUGGGGCUUUGUCACCCGCUCUGUAGGCCCGGCCGGCGCUUGCCGAUCAACCCAAAUUUUUAUCCAGGUUGACCUCGGAUCAGGUAGGGAUACCCGCUGAACUUAAGCAUAUCAAUAAGCGGAGGA